CAUCGGUCAACUAGCACCCGUCUUUGUAAUGGAAAAAAACAACGUCAGUGGCUAGAAAAGAACAGACGUUAUAAAUAAGGAUUCAACGACGCACAGUAUAAAGAACCUGUCGUUGUUGUGAUCCAUUUCAACGACGGGUAUGCCAAAACACAUUGUUGUUUUGUCCCAUUUCAACGUCGGGUAGCCUAACACACGUCGUUGUAUGCUUCCAUUUCAACGUCGGGUUAGAAAGGUCCGACG
Molecule: microRNA precursor, 240 nt
Filed under: Glycine max (soybean)
Lineage: Eukaryota; Viridiplantae; Streptophyta; Magnoliopsida; Fabales; Fabaceae
Description: miR10435 stem-loop (gma-MIR10435)
Source: miRBase by way of RNAcentral